GAAACUCGCAAAAAGAUAGGUCCGCGAUUCCCUGAGUCGUAUUGAGUCAAAAGCACCGCGUUCUUUCAUUUUAUGUUGAAAGACUCGUUGGUGAUUUAAAGAAAAGCAAUCCAUUCAAGGCAGCUGUCUUCGUCCCAAGACAUUCACCGUUUUCACUGUUUGUUCAACCCUGUACAAUCUGUCGGAAAAGAAAAGCUCUCUACAGCGUUUGUCUAUUUUGUCCAAACAUACGGCGUAUAAAUAUUCUUCAAUUGUGAUAGAUUUUUCAUUGAGGAGACGAGAUUGCGUUGUUAGAGGACCGUUCGACGCGAGUGGAAGAACUGAAUUUACUCCAUAAAUAAUUAUCGACUCAGUCCUCAGAAAGUAAAGUUUCUGUGCCUCGAAGGCUUUUCUCUGGCUUCUGUCGACGUUCUCUGUAAUAUUAUGGUGGAUAGAUAGAUUGUAAGCUUUAAAAAAUGGCAGCAAGAUCUAACUCUUCGUUUCAUGAAUCGACGGGUAUGAACAAUAACUACUUUAAUUCUAAAAAAAUAAGGAAAUAAGUUAAACUAAGUUACUGUGCGUUUUACCUUUUAGUUUUGAUUUAUUUUAUUUUUGAAUAACUUCAAUAUAUAAUGAUAAAUAAUGAAAAGAGCAAAAAUUCAAUUACUAUUACUGUUACAAAUUCAAAAUCACCUACUUUGGGUCUACGAAGUUAGGAUACAAAUUUGAAUGAAAUAUUAAAUAUCAAGUAGAAAGGAAAGAAAAGGAAAGGAAAGUACUACUCUGAUGUCUUUUCUUGCCAUAAAGCACACGGAAGCAGCCUGACUACAUGAAAACAGAAAAAAAAAAUGUGCGUGCUAAUAAUUACUUGAUUUAUGCAAGCUAUGAAUACCAGCAUAUUUUCCUGUUAUUGAAAGCAAGAGUUUGUAUAGCUGAUUGCCUGCUGGUAAAACAGCUACCACUUCGACAUCUAUCUUCUGUAGUGUCGAUACCUUUGUUUGUGUUCAGUGAUUUUUCAGGUUUUUUUUUUUUUCAUUUACGAAUUUCUAUAAAACGGCAGAUGUCUGAGAAAUAAGGGUUAGAAAUCUAGAGAAACUGAUGCUUAUAGUAAAGCCUUUUGAAGGACCAAUGCUUAGAUUCCAUUAUAAGAGAUCGUAUAAUGAUGAUGCUUGGUGUCCUCGCCUCUAGGGGUUUGCAUCAAGGCUCACCAAGUCUGUUUCCUUUGAUAUACAUCUCUUUAUUGUGUAGCACUUCAAUCGAUGGCCGCCAGUUAUCAUUAUGUCAACGCUCAGUUACUAGUUCGAGGUACUUAUAGAAAGUAGGGUUUUAUAGAAUGUUUAAGAAAAGGGACUUUUCCUGCCUGGUGGUAGACGAGACAGUCUCAGCUAUAUUGCUAGAUUUGCUUCUAUACGUGAGGCUUUGAACAAUUUGAUUGUUGUGCAAUAGAAAUUUUAAAGUGCACAUAACAAUGACCUCAGGAUAGGGAUGCUUGCACUAAAACAUCUCAAACAGCGCGUUAAUAAAUAACGAAAACAUGAAAACUGAUUCAUCUUAAGCCCACCUCAAGCGGUGGAUUUAGGAAAACAUGAUUGCGUUCUUAACCCAAAAUCCCUCUAUAUUACGUACAAGGUCUGUAUAAAUUUAGGCCAGUUAUAUAUGAGAUGUGUUUAGUCAGACGAACAUAAUAUCCGUAACUAUUUCUGCGAGGCAAAAAGGUUGAUGUUUUUUACGGAUGUUCAAUCGACUCAUUUCCGAUAGCAUGGCUCAAUUUAGGUCUAAGAGGAGAAACCGCGGUACAGGCGGGCAAAAUUAUCCACUGUAAUUUAUCAAUAUAUUUUCGCGCCCAAAAUAAGCUUAACUAUGGUGGGAGAAUUAACGCGUACGGUGUACUAAACCUUUAAUGAAGAUUAUACUAACUCACUGAUAAUGAUCAUAGCCACCAGGAUAGCCGCAGUAUCUUGAAAUCUAAGAGAAUAUUGGCUAUAUUCUGUAGUAUACUUCUAUACAAUCAUUAUCUUAGGGACCGACGAUUCCAAUUCAAUAGAUCAAAAGGAAGGAAAGAUAAGACAUUUAUACUGUAAUAGAAGACAGGCAAUUGAUUUGAUUGUGUUACGUUUAUACAAAUUUAAAGUAUUUAAAGACCUCAGGAUCGUUUGCUUGAAUUGGUAUAGAAUUGCAGUGGAUGCUUGGUGCAUGAAGUAAGGAAAAUGGGCAUGAAGGGCUGUAGGUAGUUACUUCGUCAAGUUUGUCCCAUAAUGUACUUUACGAUUUGAAUCAAGAAAGAAAGAAAGAAAGAAAGAAAGAAAGAAAGAAAGAAAGAAA
Molecule: long non-coding RNA, 2301 nt
Filed under: Actinia tenebrosa (Australian red waratah sea anemone)
Lineage: Eukaryota; Metazoa; Cnidaria; Anthozoa; Actiniaria; Actiniidae
Description: uncharacterized LOC116300661, transcript variant X2
Source: RNAcentral